Molecule: non-coding RNA, 180 nt
Filed under: Ramlibacter sp.
Lineage: Bacteria; Pseudomonadati; Pseudomonadota; Betaproteobacteria; Burkholderiales; Comamonadaceae
Description: 6S RNA
Rfam family: 6S / SsrS RNA
About the family: E. coli 6S RNA was the first non coding RNA to be sequenced, but its function was unknown until recently. It consists of 184 nucleotides that fold into an extended hairpin structure with a large single-stranded internal bulge.
Source: RNAcentral
ACUUGUCUGCGGUGCAUGCCGGGCCUUAUACGUCCUUGAACCAAUGCUCAUAGAGCACGGGCCUGGAACAUCUCUUGACUAGCGUGAUCGUCUCGCGUUAGACGAACCCAAAGUCAGGCUGACCUAGCCCACCUGAACCACGGUUCAGGCUGCCGGUCCGGCGGCACUUGCAGACACCUU